Molecule: ribosomal RNA, 253 nt
Filed under: uncultured bacterium
Lineage: Bacteria
Description: partial 16S ribosomal RNA
Rfam family: Bacterial small subunit ribosomal RNA
Source: RNAcentral
UACGUAGGUGGCAAGCGUUAUCCGGAAUUAUUGGGCGUAAAGCGCGCGUAGGUGGCUUCGUAAGUCCGUUGUGAAAGUCAAAGGCUCAACCUUUGAAAGCCGAUGGAUACUGCGGAGCUAGAGUACGGAAGAGGCGAGUGGAAUUCCUGGUGUAGCGGUGGAAUGCGCAGAUAUCAGGAGGAACACCAAUAGCGAAGGCAGCUCGCUGGGACGUUACUGACACUGAGGCGCGAAAGCGUGGGGAGCGAACAGG